UACGGAGGGUGCAAGCGUUAUCCGGAUUCACUGGGUUUAAAGGGUGCGUAGGUGGGUUUGUAAGUCAGUGGUGAAAUCUCCGUGCUUAACAUGGAAACUGCCAUUGAUACUAUAGAUCUUGAAUUUUCUGGAGGAUAGCGGAAUAUGUCAUGUAGCGGUGAAAUGCUUAGAUAUGACAUAGAACACCAAUUGCGAAGGCAGCUAUCUACAGGGAUAUUGACACUGAGGCACGAAAGCGUGGGGGAUCAAACAGG
This 254-nucleotide ribosomal RNA is filed under the name uncultured bacterium. RNAcentral's name for it is "partial 16S ribosomal RNA". It matches the Rfam family "Bacterial small subunit ribosomal RNA", at positions 524 to 776 of the family's 1533-position model. The record is from RNAcentral.